AUAUAGCUCAAUGGUAGAGCUUGUGCUUAGCAUGCACCAAGCACUGGGUUCAAUCCCCAGUGU
This 63-nucleotide transfer RNA is filed under the name Heterocephalus glaber (naked mole-rat). It matches the Rfam family "tRNA", at positions 5 to 66 of the family's 71-position model. Rfam says of the family: Transfer RNA (tRNA) molecules are approximately 80 nucleotides in length. Their secondary structure includes four short double-helical elements and three loops (D, anti-codon, and T loops). The record is from Rfam by way of RNAcentral. Lineage: Eukaryota; Metazoa; Chordata; Mammalia; Rodentia; Bathyergidae.